Molecule: long non-coding RNA, 366 nt
Filed under: Lathyrus oleraceus (garden pea)
Lineage: Eukaryota; Viridiplantae; Streptophyta; Magnoliopsida; Fabales; Fabaceae
Description: Pisum sativum (pea) long non-coding RNA (PSAT_LNC014004)
Source: RNAcentral
ACAUGCUAUACAUUGAAUGUGUCCUGUUUAGGUGUGAAUUUUUGUGGAAUUAAUUGAAUUGAUUUGGUAUGCUUUUGAGUGAAAUAGUUCUGUUUGGUCUUUUGAAGUUGCAAAUUGCAUGAUUGAUGUUAAAUUGUGCAUGAAAUGAUAAUGAUGAUUGAUAUGAGCAUGGGACCAAUUGCAUUUGAUUUUGAUUUGUUUUAAUGUGAUUUUGGUUGGUUGGCACUUGCUGUUUAGAGCUUUUUAUCCCCUUUGGACCCUAGGCUUGGCCUAGUGGUCUAGUUUCUCACAUUUGGUUUGGAUUUUCAGGUUAAAAGUGCAAAAGGCUUAAGGAGAGAAAUGGAAAUUGAGAAUUGAGUUUGGUUG